This is a long non-coding RNA of Mastomys coucha (southern multimammate mouse), 707 nucleotides long. RefSeq lists it as uncharacterized. NCBI's taxonomy places the organism in Eukaryota, Metazoa, Chordata, Mammalia, Rodentia, Muridae. The transcript has 4 exons. The record is from RefSeq and is a predicted model, not a curated record.
CUAACUGCAGAAUUAUUCAGAUCCGAUUAUCCUGUAUACAUGCCUGUGGAGAACUGUCUGGACUGUUAGUUGAUAUAGAAAAUCCCAGUUCGUCAUGAGAUGUACCAUACCUGGACAGGUUGAAAUCGUUUGAUGUCUGAACAUCUCGUUGGCGUAUUUUUUUAAUGCUGGAAAUUUUACCCAGGGUGUCACCAGUGAUAGACAUUCAAGUAUCUCAUAAAAGAAAACAAGACAGAAAGAAUCCACACAAGAGACAGACUAAGCAAAAAGAAAGGAAAGUGGUAGUUCACCUCAAAGGGAAAUGAUUGCAGCAGGCUUAUCCAAAGGACGAGAGGUGACAACCCCACUGGAUUCUGUUUUGUACAUUUUAAAGAAGUUUUUAUGAAUAUUUAUGAGAUCUUAUAGUGGCUACCAAGAGAAACUAAUAAGGAAAAGCAGGUAGGCUGACCAGCUCACCUACCACCCAGGCCAAGAUCCAGAUCCAGAGCUAUGAGUUAGCCUAUCCCAAAGUCUAUGUCAUCUGAGAAUGGUUGGGACCAGUCUUGGUUGAUCCAAAGCUUCAUGAUCUCCAUGACACAGGGCAACAACAGGUUAACUGGGAAGAGGCCCCAUGAGGAUUCAAUAUUGAUGGUGUCACAGAAGUCAGCGAUCUCCAACCAGAGCUCAAACUCAUUGCAAUAAAUAUUUGUAACUAAAGAUGUGAUGUA